This 1445-nucleotide ribosomal RNA is filed under the name metagenome. RNAcentral describes it as "bacterial SSU rRNA". It matches the Rfam family "Bacterial small subunit ribosomal RNA". The record is from RNAcentral.
AGGCAUGCAAGUCGAUCGGCAGCGAGUCAGUAGCAAUACUGAUGUCGGCGAGAGGCGGACGGGUGAGUAAUGCGCAGGAAUCUACCUUCAGGACGGGGAUAGCCAGGGGAAACUCUGGGUAAUACCCGAUGAUACCGCAAGGUCAAACGCGCUGCAAGGCGCGGUCUGGAGAUGAGCCUGCGUCCCAUCAGCUAGUUGGCGGGGUAAAGGCCCACCAAGGCAAAGACGGGUAGGUGGUCUGAGAGGAUGAUCACCCACAAGGGAACUGAGACACGGUCCCUACUCCUACGGGAGGCGCAGCCAAGAAUCUUCCGCAAUGGGGGAAACCCUGACGGAGCGACGCCGCGUUAGGGAAGAAGGUCUUCGGAUUGUAAACCUCUUUUAUUGGGGAAGAAUAAGGAGCGAGGAAAUGCGUCUCCGAUGACGGUACCCAAUGAAUAAGCCCCGGCUAAUUACGUGCCAGCAGCCGCGGUAAUACGUAGCGGGCGAGCGUUGCUCGGAAUUACUGGGCGUAAAGGGCGUGUAGGCGGCCUAACAAGUCGAAUGUAAAAAACCACGGCUUAACCGUGGGGCUGCGUUCGAAACUGUCAGGCUUGAGUCUGGUGGAGGGUAAUGGAAUUCCCGGUGUAGCGGUGAAAUGCGUAGAUAUCGGGAAGAACACCGAAGGCGAAAGCAGUUAUCUAUGCCGAGACUGACGCUGAGGCGCGAAAGCAUGGGGAUCAAACAGGAUUAGAUACCCUGGUAGUCCAUGCUGUAAACGAUGUUCACUAGGAGUUGGCGGUAUCCGUUAGCUCCGUAGCAAACGCAUUAAGUGAACCGCCUGGGGAGUACGGCCGCAAGGUUGAAACUCAAAGAAAUUGACGGGGGCCCGCACAAGCGGUGGAGUACGUGGUUUAAUUCGAUGAUAAACGAAGAACCUUACCAGGGUUUGACAUGUAUCUGCAAUCUGCCGAAAGGUAGAGUUCCCGUAAGGGACGGAUACACAGGUGCUGCAUGGCUGUCGUCAGCUCGUGCCGUGAGGUGUUGGGUUAAGUCCCGCAACGAGCGCAACCCUUACUCUUAGUUGCUACAUUCAGUUGAGCACUCUAAGAGGACUGCCGGCGAUAAGCCGGAGGAAGGAGGGGAUGAGGUCAAGUCAUCAUGGCCUUUAUAUCCUGGGCUACACACAUACUACAAUGGUUAUCACAGCGGGGAGCGAAGUGGCGACAUGGAGCGAAUCCUCAAAGGUAACCUCAAUACGGAUUGUAGUCUGCAACUCGACUACAUGAAACUGGAAUCGCUAGUAAUCGCGGGUCAGCAAAACCGCGGUGAAUACGUUCUCGGGCCUUGUACACACCGCCCGUCACACCAUCCGAGUUGGCUUUUCCUAAAGCUGGUUACUCCAACCGUAAGGGGGAGGCUGGUAAAGGAGGAGUUGGUAAGGAGGGUGAAGUCGUAACAAGGUA